AACGAACGCUGGCGGCAGGCCUAACACAUGCAAGUCGAGCGCCCGGCAAGGAGGGCGGCAGACGUGUGAGUAACGCGUGGGAACGUACCUUUUGGUUCGGAACAACCCCGGGAAACUGGGGCUAAUACGGGAUAAGCCCGAACGUGGAAAGGGUUAUCUCCAAAAGAUCGGCCCGAGUCUGAUUAGCUAGUUGGCGGGGUAACGGCGCACCAAGGCGACUAUCAUUAGCUGGUCUUAGAGGAUGAGCAGCCACACUGGGACUGGGCAACGGCAGAGACUCCUACGCGAGGCAGCAGUGGGGGAUAUUGCAACAUGGGGGCAAGGAUGAUCGAGCCAUGCCGGGUGAGUGAUGAAGGCCUUAGGGUUGUAAAGCUCUUUUGUCCGGGAAGAUAAUGACUGUACCGGAAGAAUAAGCCCCGGCUAACUUCGUG
This 431-nucleotide ribosomal RNA is filed under the name uncultured bacterium. RNAcentral describes it as "partial 16S ribosomal RNA". It matches the Rfam family "Bacterial small subunit ribosomal RNA", at positions 29 to 507 of the family's 1533-position model. The record is from RNAcentral.